AGGGAAUCUUCCGCAAUGGACGAAAGUCUGACGGAGCAACGCCGCGUGAGUGAUGAAGGUUUUCGGAUCGUAAAGCUCUGUUGCCAGGGAAGAACGUCUUCUGGAGUAACUGCCAGGAGAGUGACGGUACCUGAGAAGAAAGCCCCGGCUAACUACGUGCCAGCAGCCGCGGUAAUACGUAGGGGGCAAGCGUUGUCCGGAAUUAUUGGGCGUAGAGCGCGCGCAGGCGGCUGUUUAAGUCUGGUGUAUAAUCCUGGGGCUCAACUCCGGGUCGCACUGGAAACUGGACGGCUUGAGUGCAGAAGAGGAGAGUGGAAUUCCACGUGUAGCGGUGAAAUGCGUAGAGAUGUGGAGGAACACCAGUGGCGAAGGCGACUCUCUGGGCUGUAACUGACGCUGAGGCGCGAAAGCGUGGGGAGCAAAC
Molecule: ribosomal RNA, 424 nt
Filed under: uncultured bacterium
Lineage: Bacteria
Description: bacterial SSU rRNA
Rfam family: Bacterial small subunit ribosomal RNA
Source: RNAcentral